UACGUAGGGGGCAAGCGUUGUCCGGAUUUAUUGGGCGUAAAGAGCGUGUAGGCGGCCUGAAAGGUCAGCUGUGAAAACUCGAGGCUCAACCUCGAGACGUCGGUUGAAACCAUCUGGCUAGAGUCCGGAAGAGGAGUGUGGAAUUCCCGGUGUAGCGGUGAAAUGCGCAGAUAUCGGGAGGAACACCAGUGGCGAAGGCGGCCUUCUGGACCAGUACUGACGCUCAUGCACGAAAGCGUGGGGAGCAAACAGG
RNAcentral lists this ribosomal RNA (253 nucleotides) under uncultured bacterium. RNAcentral's name for it is "partial 16S ribosomal RNA". It matches the Rfam family "Bacterial small subunit ribosomal RNA", at positions 524 to 776 of the family's 1533-position model. The record is from RNAcentral.